This 87-nucleotide transfer RNA is filed under the name Anaerolineales bacterium. Its description in RNAcentral is "tRNA-Ser". It matches the Rfam family "tRNA". Rfam says of the family: Transfer RNA (tRNA) molecules are approximately 80 nucleotides in length. Their secondary structure includes four short double-helical elements and three loops (D, anti-codon, and T loops). Further hydrogen bonds mediate the characteristic L-shaped molecular structure. tRNAs have two regions of fundamental functional importance: the anti-codon, which is responsible for specific mRNA codon recognition, and the 3' end, to which the tRNAs corresponding amino acid is attached (by aminoacyl-tRNA synthetases). tRNAs cope with the degeneracy of the genetic code in two manners: having more than one tRNA (with a specific anti-codon) for a particular amino acid; and 'wobble' base-pairing, i.e. permitting non-standard base-pairing at the 3rd anti-codon position. RNAcentral also lists the same sequence under 1 other name. The record is from RNAcentral. Lineage: Bacteria; Bacillati; Chloroflexota; Anaerolineae; Anaerolineales.
GGAGAGGUGCCAGAGUGGACGAUUGGGGUACUCUCGAAAAGUACUGUGGCUUUACGGUCACCGUGGGUUCGAAUCCCACCCUCUCCG